UAGCGGCGGACGGGUGAGUAACACGUGGGCAACCUGCCCCUUAGACUGGGAUAACUCCGGGAAACCGGAGCUAAUACCGRAUAAUCCCUUUCUCCACCUGGAGAGAGGGUGAAAGAUGGCUUCGGCUAUCACUAAGGGAUGGGCCCGCGGCGCAWUAGCUAGUUGGUAAGGUAACGGCUUACCAAGGCAACGAUGCGUASCCSACCUGAGAGGGUGAUCGGCCACACUGGGACUGAGACACGGCCCAGACUCCUACGGGAGGCAGCAGUAGGGAAUCUUCCGCARUGGACGAAAGUCUGACGGAGCAACGCCGCGUGAGUGAGGAAGGCCUUCGGGUCGUAAAGCUCUGUUGUGAGGGAARAAGCGGUACCGUUCGAAUAGGGCGGURCCUUGACGGUACCUCACCAGAAAGCCACGGCUAACUACGUGCCAGCAGCCGCGGUAAUACGUAGGUGGCAAGCGUUGUCCGGAAUUAUUGGGCGUAAAGCGCGCGCAGGCGGCUUCUUAAGUCUGAUGUGAAAUCUCGGGGCUCAACCCCGAGCGGCCAUUGGAAACUGGGGAGCUUGAGUGCAGAAGAGGAGAGUGGAAUUCCACGUGUAGCGGUGAAAUGCGUAGAGAUGUGGAGGAACACCAGUGGCGAAGGCGACUCUCUGGUCUGUAACUGACGCUGAGGCGCGAAAGCGUGGGGAGCAAACAGGAUUAGAUACUCUGGUAGUCCACGCCGUAGACGAUGAGUGCUAGGUGUUAGGGGUUUCGAUGCCCGUAGUGCCGAAGUUAACACAUUAAGCACUCCGCCUGGAGAGUACGGCCGCAAGGCUGAAACUCAAAGGAAUUGACGGGGACCCGCACAAGCAGUGGAGCAUGUGGUUUAAUUCGAAGCAACGCGAAGAACCUUACCAGGUCUUGACAUCCUUUGACCACCCAAGAGAUUGGGCUUCCUCUUCGGGGGCAAAGUGACAGGUGGUGCAUGGUUGUCGUCAGCUCGUGUCGUGAGAUGUUGGGUUAAGUCCCGCAACGAGCGCAACCCUUGAUCUUAGUUGCCAGCAUUGAGUUGGGCACUCUAAGGUGACUGCCGGUGACAAACCGGAGGANGGNGGGGAUGACGUCAAAUCAUCAUGCCCCUUAUGAC
RNAcentral lists this ribosomal RNA (1129 nucleotides) under Bacillus sp. (in: firmicutes). RNAcentral's name for it is "bacterial SSU rRNA". It matches the Rfam family "Bacterial small subunit ribosomal RNA", at positions 93 to 1208 of the family's 1533-position model. Lineage: Bacteria; Bacillati; Bacillota; Bacilli; Caryophanales; Bacillaceae. The record is from RNAcentral.